CUCACCGAUACAUUCAACAAACAUUUGUGGGUUGCUAAACACGUGUGAGCUGCUGCUCUCCUAGCCACUUGGAAACAGGGAAGAUAGCCAAGCUACAAGAUGGUAGAGCCACAGAUGAGAGAAGACUGGAGUCCCUGAAUCUCUGCCUGGAAGAAAGCCACUUAACUAAAACACUCACAUUAGAUUGUCACACUAAAGUAAACAUUCAUUGUGCCUCUGAAAUUUGGGAGUUUCUUUAUUACAGUAGCUAACUUUAGGCUAACAUGUAAAGAAUGGAGAGAGAAGCUUCCAAUGCAGUCUUUUUCUAGCCAUAUCUGAAAUAAUGGAUAUAGUUGCAGCUGGAGUGACUCUGAAUUCUUCUGUAGUGUGAUCUUUGGAAAGAUAUUAACUUGGUAUCUUUGACAAAAUUAAUUUCACUUAAUAUAAAUAUAUAUGUUUUCUUUUAAA
Molecule: long non-coding RNA, 447 nt
Organism: Lemur catta (Ring-tailed lemur)
Lineage: Eukaryota; Metazoa; Chordata; Mammalia; Primates; Lemuridae
Exons: 2
Source: RefSeq, a predicted model, not a curated record